CGGAAGUGUGGCCGAGCGGUUGAAGGCACCGGUCUUGAAAACCGGCGACCCGAAAGGGUUCCAGAGUUCGAAUCUCUGCGCUUCAGCCA
RNAcentral lists this transfer RNA (89 nucleotides) under Pseudomonas aeruginosa. Its description in RNAcentral is "tRNA-Ser". It matches the Rfam family "tRNA". From Rfam's summary of the family: Transfer RNA (tRNA) molecules are approximately 80 nucleotides in length. Their secondary structure includes four short double-helical elements and three loops (D, anti-codon, and T loops). Further hydrogen bonds mediate the characteristic L-shaped molecular structure. tRNAs have two regions of fundamental functional importance: the anti-codon, which is responsible for specific mRNA codon recognition, and the 3' end, to which the tRNAs corresponding amino acid is attached (by aminoacyl-tRNA synthetases). tRNAs cope with the degeneracy of the genetic code in two manners: having more than one tRNA (with a specific anti-codon) for a particular amino acid; and 'wobble' base-pairing, i.e. permitting non-standard base-pairing at the 3rd anti-codon position. The record is from RNAcentral. Lineage: Bacteria; Pseudomonadati; Pseudomonadota; Gammaproteobacteria; Pseudomonadales; Pseudomonadaceae.